CCUACGGGUGGCAGCAGUGAGGAAUAUUGGUCAAUGGGCGGAAGCCUGAACCAGCCAAGUCGCGUGAGGGAUUAAGGCCCUAUGGGUCGUAAACCUCUUUUGUCAGGGAGCAAUGGCGUCCACGUGUGGGCGUAUGGAGAGUACCUGAAGAAAAAGCAUCGGCUAACUCCGUGCCAGCAGCCGCGGUAAUACGGAGGAUUCAAGCGUUAUCCGGAUUUAUUGGGUUUAAAGGUGGCGUAGGCGGUUCGAUAAGUUAGAGGUGAAAUCCCGGGGCUCAACUCCGGCACUGCCUCUGAUACUGUCGGGCUAGAGUUUAGUUGCGGUAGGCGGAAUGUAUGGUGUAGCGGUGAAAUGCAGAGAGAUCAUACAGAACACCGAUUGCGAAGGCAGCUUACCAAACUACGACUGACGUUGAGGCACGAAAGCGUGGGGAGCAAACAGGAUUAGAUACACUUGUAGUC
This 461-nucleotide ribosomal RNA is filed under the name uncultured bacterium. RNAcentral's name for it is "partial 16S ribosomal RNA". It matches the Rfam family "Bacterial small subunit ribosomal RNA", at positions 338 to 795 of the family's 1533-position model. The record is from RNAcentral.